GCCGGGGUGGCGGAAUUGGCAGACGCACAGGACUUAAAAUCCUGGGGGCCGCAAGGCUCGUGUGGGUUCGACUCCCAUCCCCGGCA
RNAcentral lists this transfer RNA (86 nucleotides) under Acidobacteriota bacterium. RNAcentral's name for it is "Acidobacteria bacterium (anaerobic digester metagenome) tRNA-Leu". It matches the Rfam family "tRNA". Rfam says of the family: Transfer RNA (tRNA) molecules are approximately 80 nucleotides in length. Their secondary structure includes four short double-helical elements and three loops (D, anti-codon, and T loops). Lineage: Bacteria; Pseudomonadati; Acidobacteriota. The record is from RNAcentral.